This is a long non-coding RNA of Oncorhynchus tshawytscha (Chinook salmon), 2725 nucleotides long. NCBI's taxonomy places the organism in Eukaryota, Metazoa, Chordata, Actinopteri, Salmoniformes, Salmonidae. The record is from Ensembl.
GAUAAUUGCUUCCCAUUGUGACGCAGAGCGAGCUCAGGCCAGGGAGUGUGUAUGUGUGUGUUUGUGAGGUGGCUGUGUCUUAUGUGAGGGGUAAGACGUAGAGUGACUAACUUAUGAAAAAGUUUACAGCAGGACUUUAAUAGAGCAACAGGAGGGUGAGUUGACCACUUGUACCCAAUGUGGAUCUGCAGGAUGCAUCUGAAGUUAUGCAUGGUAACCAAAGGAUAUAUGAUGCGUCAUAAUAAUGCCUGAAGGUAAGAGUAAGCUAUAUGCAAACCUGAUGUUCAGAAAUUAUCAACUUAAUGCAUAUUCACCUCUAUUACUGGAAAGUAUUGUGAUUUUCAUAGCAGAUUGGUGUAACGUAAUACGCUGGGAGUCAGGGGCAGGUGCAGAAGGUGAGUUUAAUAAUGAAUCGAAGCAGAUGAACAAAAUGUGAGAAGCGUACAGAACGUGAGAGAAAACAAUACUACCUAGUGACUGCUGUCAACUGAGGGCUAAAUAAAGGGGGAGUAAUCAAGGAGAUAAUGAUGACCAGGUGUGCGUAAUGAUUGUUGCCAGGGCCGGUGGUUAGCAGACCGGCGACGCCUAGCGCUGGAGAGAGGGAGCGGGAGUAGGCGUGACAAUUGUUGCUGUGUGUACUGAGCCUUUUGCACACUUGUUGUUGACUUGCAUGUUCUGUAAGGAGAAAGGACGGAGCUGUGCGAUCAAACGUAUGUUUGAAAUAUGGACCAGUCCUUAUUUACAGUUGAGCACCACGGCAGGCAAGCAGUCUACACUUGACCUUGAUCAGAACAGAACACAGCAGGCAGGGCUCUGAGAGGGCCCUGGAGGAAGUCCUAAUCCUAUUGCUGAGAGACAAAAACACCAUCCUCAGAGCCAAAUGUCUCUUCAGAAAUACCAUGCCUGACCAUCCAGGCAGCAGCCACCAGCUCACUCCAUUAGCUACCACAAUUAAAGUAGCCCUGGCUGGGCAUCCCAGCUUAUUAAAUUGAAACGGAUGGUGCAUUAGUGGUAGCUGCAGGUCAGGGAAAGGUAACAUUAGAGGUAGUACACACAGAGAGAUGAGACCCCUUCAGAUCAGUUACUAUUGCAGUUUUAUAUUUUGAGAUGAAAAGAGUAAACCUGAUGUACACUGUCAUGACUGGCCUGUUUGGGUCAGGAUACCAUAGACCAUAAUCCUACAGCGAUAUCUCUCACACCCACCAGCGGGGGAGAGAUCGAGAGUUAUGGAGGUGGGGGAUUUCAUUACACCUCCCACCCAUUGUAAAUCUUAAGGCAGCAGACAAAAUCCCCUUUGUCCUCUCAGUAUGGAGGGAUGGAAUGUAUGAUGGGCCUAUGGAGAAUCUACCUCUGAACAGUAACAUGCAAUAAAUGGACUUUGGGACAAUAUGUUUCGUGGUAGUAGUGACAAUAGAUGGAAUAUGAAAUGAUAUGAGUGUCGUUUUUGUUAUGUUAUUAAAAGUUAAAUGACGACGUUAUAACGAAAACAUUAUAACUUGAAGAGUUUUCACACUAUGUACUUGAGGUUUGCAUACUGUACGUUGUGUGGAAAAUGUCCAGAUCAAAGAUAUUGUAUUUGUAAAGAUGUAAUGUGAAGUUAGUUGUCUAAAUUGGAUCUGAGUAAAAUCCAGACCUUGCAUCGUAGCUAGUUACGACCAGAGAACUUGCCCUAAAGGUGGAAACGCCCAUUUCUGACCAGAGGGUAUAAAACACGUGAGUUCAGAGCUAAUAUAGCAGACUAAGCAACCACGAGCUCCAGCCAAUGUCCGAAUUAGUUGUGUACCCAAAAUUCAACACAAGGUUGAAGAAGACUAAGGAACCUGAAGAGGGUUAAACCAAGGCCUCAUACCUUUUAAAGGGUUAAUAUAUUGUGCUAUGAUAAACUCUGUGUGUGUGUGUUAAAACCUGUUUCGAGUGUUGUGCCCUUCAGACACUAUCAGAAGACUGAAACCGCCUACAGUACGUUCAUACUCCUCCUGUCUGGGACCCACCAUGGUUAUCUGAGGUUCUGAAAACACAAGGCUGCCGCAAGCCUGAUGAAAACAGCCACCUGUCAGAAUAUGCUUGGACUCGUUCACCUUGUUAUGACUCUAUACUUGUGAUGGAAGGUCAAGUUUCUGUCAACCCACUUCUGAGCUUUUAAUUGCUGAUAAGAUGGUUGCUGCUGUCAGGGUGAGGUUAGAUUUAUUAAAAUGUUGUUGUCAGGGAAACUCACGCAAGGAGGACUGGGAGAGGCUCUAUGAGUUACAGGAUGUCUUAGACAUUUUGCACAACCUGGGGAGAGCUAUUAUGUACUGUACUCUGUACCAACUUCUGCAUACAAUUGUAUUACUAAAGGAGUAUUAUAAUACUUAAACAAAGAGUCUGUGUUUCCUUUCCAAUACUAAUGUAUGUUUGAUAAUUAUACAGACCUGAUCAUCUGUUGAAGAAAUUGACUAACAAACCUUUUUACAAUCUAUGCUACGGAUGAGUAACUGUGUCUAAGAGGGUGAAUUCAAGCAGGACCACCGGGUCACCACUCUCCAAGGAAUCGUGUGUCUAAACUACUUUCAUUCCCACACUGGAACCAUCUACACAGCUGAUUAGCCAUCCUCUGAAGAACCCUUUUCAGAGCAAGGACGAGGAAACAUUCCACUAAGAGUAAGGACACUGACAUCGUGAGGACAAACAGAGAGUUACACCUGGCAACCGAAGGUGUGCUGUCAUCGGAGAAGUCAGAACGCGG